Molecule: microRNA precursor, 161 nt
Filed under: Olea europaea subsp. europaea
Lineage: Eukaryota; Viridiplantae; Streptophyta; Magnoliopsida; Lamiales; Oleaceae
Source: RNAcentral
AAAUAGAAAUAAGAAGCAAGAAAGAGGGGAGAAACCGGAGAAGAAGCAGAAAUUCAUGGGGGAGAGGGGGAGGAAAAGAAAGGAGAAGCCUUCUUCUCCGGUUUCUCCCCCCCAUUCUCUCCGGUUCUCCCCUCUUUCUUGCUUCUUCUUUCUAUUUUUUA